UACGUAGGGUGCGAGCGUUAAUCGGAAUUACUGGGCGUAAAGCGUGCGCAGGCGGUUCGUGAUGUCUGGUGUGAAAGCCCCGGGCUUAACCUGGGAAUUGCAUUGGAAACUAGCGGGCUGGAGUGUGGCAGAGGGGGGUGGAAUUCCACGUGUAGCAGUGAAAUGCGUAGAUAUGCGGAGGAACACCGAUGGCGAAGGCAAUCCCCUGGGCCUGCACUGACGCUCAUGCACGAAAGCGUGGGGAGCAAACAGG
Molecule: ribosomal RNA, 253 nt
Filed under: uncultured bacterium
Lineage: Bacteria
Description: partial 16S ribosomal RNA
Rfam family: Bacterial small subunit ribosomal RNA
Source: RNAcentral